CACGUAGGCACCAAGCGUUGUCCGGAUUUAUUGGGCGUAAAGAGCUCGUAGGCGGUUCAGUAAGUCAGGUGUGAAAUCUUUGGGCUUAACCCAAAGCGUGCACUUGAUACUGCUGUGACUUGAGUUCGGUAGGGGAGUGGGGAAUUCCUAGUGUAGCGGUGAAAUGCGCAGAUAUUAGGAGGAACACCGGUGGCGAAGGCGCCACUCUGGGCCGAAACUGACGCUGAGGGGCGAAAGCGUGGGUAGCAAACAGG
Molecule: ribosomal RNA, 254 nt
Filed under: uncultured bacterium
Lineage: Bacteria
Description: partial 16S ribosomal RNA
Rfam family: Bacterial small subunit ribosomal RNA
Source: RNAcentral